RNAcentral lists this ribosomal RNA (253 nucleotides) under uncultured bacterium. RNAcentral's name for it is "partial 16S ribosomal RNA". It matches the Rfam family "Bacterial small subunit ribosomal RNA", at positions 524 to 776 of the family's 1533-position model. The record is from RNAcentral.
UACGAAGGAUGCAAGCGUUAUCCGGAAUGAUUGGGCGUAAAGCGUCCGCAGGUGGCAGUUCAAGUCUGCUGUCAAAGACCGGGGCUUAACUUCGGAAAGGCAGUGGAAACUGAACAGCUAGAGUAUGGUAGGGGCAGAGGGAAUUCCUGGUGUAGCGGUGAAAUGCGUAGAGAUCAGGAAGAACAUCGGUGGCGAAGGCGCUCUGCUGGACCAUAACUGACACUCAGGGACGAAAGCUAGGGGAGCGAAUGGG